RNAcentral lists this ribosomal RNA (406 nucleotides) under uncultured bacterium. RNAcentral's name for it is "partial 16S ribosomal RNA". It matches the Rfam family "Bacterial small subunit ribosomal RNA", at positions 30 to 526 of the family's 1533-position model. The record is from RNAcentral.
AUUGCACGCUGGCGGCAGGCUUAACACAUGCAAGUCGAGCGAGCGGCGGCCGGGUGAGUAAUGUCUGGGAAACUGCCUGAUGGAGGGGGCUAACUACUGGAAACGGUAGCUAAUACCGCAUACCAUCAGAUGCGCCCAGAUGGGAUUAGCUUGUAGGUGGGGUAACGGCUCACCUAGGCGACGAUCCCUAGCUGGUCUGAGAGGAUGACCAGCAAAACUGGAACUGAGACACGGUCCAGACGCCUACGGGAGGCAGCAGUGGGGAAUAUUGCACAAUGGGCGCAAGCCUGAUGCAGCCAUGCCGCGUGUGUGAAGAAGGCCUUCGGGUUGUAAAGCACUUUCAGCGGGGAGGCGUUACUGGCAGAAGAAGCACCGGCUAACUCCGUGCCAGCAGCCGCGGUAAUAC